This 505-nucleotide ribosomal RNA is filed under the name uncultured Scutellospora. Its description in RNAcentral is "SSU rRNA". It matches the Rfam family "Eukaryotic small subunit ribosomal RNA", at positions 569 to 1077 of the family's 1831-position model. Lineage: Eukaryota; Fungi; Glomeromycota; Glomeromycetes; Diversisporales; Gigasporaceae. The record is from RNAcentral.
AGCAGCCGCGGUAAUUCCAGCUCCAAUAGCGUAUAUUAAAGUUGUUGCAGUUAAAAAGCUCGUAGUUGAAUUUCGGGGUUCUUCCGUUGGUCAGGCUAACAAGUCUGUACUAGCGUGUAGAAUCUCUACCUUCUGGGGAACCAUCAUGUUAUUAAUUUAGCGUGGUGGGAAACCAGGACCUUUACCUUGAAAAAUUAGAGUGUUCAAAGCAGGCUUACGUCUGAAUACAUUAGCAUGGAAUAAUAAAAUAGGACGGUGGUCCUGUUUUGUUGGUUUCUGAAUCACCGUAAUGAUUAAUAGGGAUAGUUGGGGGCAUUAGUAUUCAAUUGUCAGAGGUGAAAUUCUUGGAUUUAUUGAAGACUAACUUCUGCGAAAGCAUUUGCCAAGGAUGUUUUCAUUAAUCAAGAACGAAAGUUAGGGGAUCGAAGACGAUCAGAUACCGUCGUAGUCUUAACCAUAAACUAUGCCGACUAGGAAUCAGACGAUGUUAAUUUUUAAUGUACUC